AAAAUUACAGUGGGAAUUAGCAGGAGCCUAAGCUGUUGUUUGCGCUGCCCAUUAGCAUCUGCCUAUUUAUCUGUCACCAGAUCCUCGUGGCAUCUAUCCAUCCAUCUGGAUCCUUGUCAGUCUGUCUGCCUAUCUAAUUAUCCAUUAGCAUGGCAAAGCGCCCCUGACAGCGGUCCCGGCGAGGCAGACGCGAGACCACCUCAGCUGCCCUUCACCAUCGCGCGGAUGCUUUUAUGAGCUUCACCGACACGCGAGCAAAACCCCGCUCGUAGGUUUCACAAAACAAUACCUUACGGCGGGCAGGGAAGGUUCCGCAAGGCUGCGGGAUGCGGAUGCAUCCAACGGCAAUGGGGGAAAGAUGGGCCGGAGCAGGCGAACGCCGGGGGGGUUGCGUGGCGGGGGUUGUCCGUAGGGCGUUGAUGGUGUAGGGGGAAUACGUGCGCGUGCCACGCUAUACGCGCACGCCACGCGCUUUCGCUGCUCGCAGAUGCUCCGUCUUGCCCAUGGAAAACAAACCCCGAGGCCUCGCCCGGCACGGGCAUCGCCGCGCCGUGCCGCGGGCAGCUCGGGUGCCGGCGGCUCUUUGUGCCCGUGCCGCCGCGUGGGGUUUCUUUGUUCGCGGCGCCGGGCAGGUUCCCCCUCCCCGCCUGCCCACGGGCCCCGGCUCAGAGCAGCCGCCGAGGAGCAAAUCAGCGGCGUUUGCAUAUUCAGAGCAGGUGGGGGCCCAUAUGCCUAAGAUGCACCAGACAAAAUUAGCCACCAUAAUCAUAAUCAAGUGUGCCGUUGUGCUGGGGGAAGGGAGAGCCUGGCAGACAAGCCUGAUAAUUAUGAAGCUCAGCAUGUGCGCAGCGGUUUUGCAACAAUUAUGCCUAGCUCAGCAAGCCGGCAAUGAUGCUCGUUACAACCACCCUCCGUCGCCCACCCGCCCGCCGGUAGCUCGCUCCCGGGAGGGCUGCGCCAGCCUCGGCCCUCCCCGAGCCGCCGUUGGGAAGGGAGCAUGAGGCCGGCGAGGGGCUGCGGGCAAGACCCCUGUCCCGGUGGGUCCGUCCCUUUGCAAGCUGGUUUGUCGUUUGGCGACAGCCGUUGCUCGGGCAUCCCCCACUGAGCUGCCCUCUGCUCUCCCUGGGCCCCCACCACCUUCCUGCACCCUCUUCUUGCAGCAAAACCCCCCGUUUCCCACCUGGACUAAACCCACGGUGUCCAAGGUCUCUCCAGAAACCAUCCUCCCCCGGCCCCGUCAGCACCCGGCUGCUCUUGCCCUGCGCGGAAAACAACCCAAACCCUUCGCAUAAAGGAGCUCUUGCUGCUCCAGCUUCACUAAAAUCAGUUUAUAUUUGCCUCCCAGGACUUUCCCUUUCCCGUCCUCCUCUGCUCGCCCUGCUCUUUGCAGGGGUGUGUUAUCUCCCACUCAUCCGCUCCGCAGGCUGGGAACGAGGGUGGUGGCAGGAGGUGACACACCAGAUUCAUCUCCAGCCGCCAGCGCUCGAGGGCCGGUGUCACGCAGCAUUUCCCUGGACGAGCCCUGGGGAAGGGGAACGGGAAGAAGCCGCGUGCGCGCGAGGCCGACGGGAGAUGCUCUGCGGCGCGGCGAGGACCGGCCCGCGCGCCGUGGUCUUGGGAAGCGGCGGCUCCGGGCUGCGCCGACGCGGCUCGGCCUCGAGCGUCGACAGGAUGCUCCACGGAGCUUUCCGACCCGUAUCCAGCGGAGGAGGGGGAAAAUAAAUUGGUUUCCUCUUUUAAAUAGGCUGGAAGCUGCCUCGGCUUAAGCUGGGUCAGGGGGUGGUGCUGAGGGAUGCUCGUGUUUCCCCGGGGGGCCCCGGUGCAAUGGGGACAGGGGGGUUGUAGCGGUUUCCCUGAUGGAUCGGCUAUAAAGGAGCUCAGCGUGCGGGGAAAUCGCGGCUCUGCUUUCCCCAGCAUCCCCCGUCUUCCCCUCUCCUGUACGGCGUUUGGGGGGGUCAGGAUGAGCCACCCCCCCCAGCCCCAGGGAAAACCCUGCUUGAAGCACAGCAGUACCUGCAGCUCUGGGGUUAAACAGCUCAAAAGGAGGGUUUUCCACGCAGGGAGGUUUGUGGACAUACUCAGCAUCCUGGCACCUCUCUGCCCGUUACCUCCCAGCUCAAUUAACAGAAAGAAGAGCCAAACCAGCACAGAAACACCCGUCGGCGCUUGAGGAUUGCUCCGCUCUGCACCAGGAUCAGCCAGGGGCUGGUUUGCUCCAGACUAGAGGAUUUAUCAGAAGAUGAUGGCAAAGCUGGGCAAGGACCAGUUUGGUUCAUUUACCGUGGGGUAUUGCCCGAAGUUCAGUGAAACAGCCCCAAAAUCCAGUUUCUGCAGGAUGGAGCAGCAAGUGCCUUUGGGGACGGCACGUGGGAGCAACUCAACAUCGUGGGGGAGAUUUUGGGUCCCCGAAGAUCUGGCCCGGCUGUUGGAAGAGCUGUCCGUGUCAGUUCCUGGGUGUCCGGCGAGUCAUUUGGGGGAUUUGCUGGAUCCUUGCCGGGCUGGUUUUUCACCCAAGAAGCAGGAAAGGACGUGAGCCUUGGCAAUUCCCCAUCACUCAGCAUCUGAUCCACGCCGAGAGGCUCUCACUCUUAUCCAUGUGGGAACAGCGGUGGUAGCAUCCGGCUCAAUUGACCAAUUUCUGUGCAGCUGGAGCAUCUGGAAACAACCAAACCAGUCCACAUCAGCCCAAUUUCCCACCUGCAGAGAUCCACUGCUUCAGCCCUGUUUUCGGUAGAGUUUGGAAUAACCCUGCAGGAACUUGGAUUCACGCCUGGUCCCUUCUUGCCCCGAAUCACCCAUCAAGAAGUCACCCUUUAUCAGGAUUUUCCAAAUCCCAGCAAACUGGGGUCAUCGUUGUGCCAUGUGCCUCCACCGAUCCUCCUCUUUCUUCCCCAAAUAUUAUGGUUUCCCUGGUCAAUCCCUUCCAGAAUAAAUGCCUUUGAUUAAAUCAUGGAGCCGGGGAUGCUGAGGGAGUUUCCCGGGGACUUUGCUGGGCCCAGGGCAGACCCCAAAUCCCCCCAUGCUGGGGGUUACUGGGGCUGCACCCAUCUGCGGCAAAGGGAUCUUAAAAUAUUCUUUGCUGGAGCUUUGGAAAGGAGCUUUCGAUUGUUUUAAUUGAUGAAGGAAUUGGACAGUGAACAGAAACACAGUCAAAUAAAUCAGCACUGCAUUUUCACCACCUUUUCCAUCCCCCAAAGCUAGUUUGGGAGCAGAGCGGCUUUGCAAGACUUGGGAAAAAGCAAGAAAAUUCCCCCACCUGUUUGCUUUUAAACAGGCUUUUUUUUAAGGAAAAAAAACAACAAAAAAACUCGAGGGCUGUGAACAGCACCUGAAACCAAGCCGGGGUGUGCUAUUCAUGCACACACGCUAUCCGAGGGGCAGGAUCCCCCACUCCACACCCCACGGGGCUAAAGAGCAGCAACUCUCCGGACUAUAAAUUCCCAGAUUCCCUGGAUCUCACCAGCUCGGCUGUUAUUGAGAUGCAGGGAGCAGGGGAGAAGGUGACCGCCGACUCCAUAAAUAUUAUUGGGGGCGACGGGGCUGCGCGGGGCCGGCGGGCGCAGACAAAGCGCCCAUUGAGCUGUCGGCAAAGGCGCGACGGCCCAGCUGCUGCGGGGAGCCAGGACGGGGGUCAAGGUCAGAGGUGGCCCCUGCCUGUAUUAUUCCCCCCCCCCCCCCCCCAACCCAGCCCCUUUCCUCAUGCCCAUAAAAUUAAUAAAGUUAAAUGGGUAUCGCCGGCUCAGCGUGCCCAUGGAGGAUGCCGGGAGAAGCGGGUGCUGACGGCAGCGGCCGUGUCGGUCAUGCAGGAGGGGAAACUGAGGCACCGUGCAAGAGCCCAGCAUCGCACCCACUCUGAGGGGGCAGUGCCAGUGUCUUUAUCCCUUGGGGACCCUUUUGCGAAUCUGUUUAAUAACAUAUAUGCUUAAAGGCUUGCAGGCUUGACAUCCCCAGCUCUGUGCUGGAGCAACCCCAGGACCAUGCCAGCGUGGCCGGGGAGCCCAUGGCCACCCCAAACCGCCCAGCACCCCUGCCCUGUGCCCAGUUCUCCCUAUGCCGAGGGUUUCUCCAUAUGGACGGAGAACCGGAGCUUUCAGCUGUGCGUGGCAGCUGCUGCAAGGGCAGCCCCCGACAGCCCCAUCCACUCCCCAGGACUGGGGGUUCAAUCCUGCUGCCACAUAAACUUAGAUUUUUAAAAUAUUUUACUCCUUAUUAAGCAAUCCCUUAGCAACGCUUGUUUCCAUGGCAAAGAGCAGAGAACCUCCAUGCUGAUGCUGAGCUUUGCCUUAAACUAUAAUUCAGCUCAUUUUAUUUGGGUGCUGCCCCAUGGGGCCAGGUCCCCAGCACCCAUGGGGGCUGUCCACCCUGGGAUAGACCAUAGGUGCCUGUUCUGGGCUCCGAGCCAGGCUGGGGACACAAAGCAAGGGCCGUUUACCUGGGAAGAGGAGGUGUGCAGCAUGCAGAGCCUCUUCGUGCAAAAAAAGGGGGCUUGGGGCACACUGUGCACCCCAAAAAAGCCAGUCUCCAUCCCCUGUAAGCCCAGCUCUGGAGCUCCUGGGGUUUAAAGGCAGAGCCGUGCCCAGCUGUGGAGCAGCCCAGGCUUCCAAAAUUACGCUCAUGAGCCCAGCCGCCAGCAGGGCUGAGGGCUUUCCUUGCUUCCCUGCACCUCCAAGCCUUAACGAACUCAAGCAAACGAGGCGCAGGACACUGGGGCAGUGCUGGGUGCCAGCGGGUGCUGCGGCACCAAACCGAACGGGAGUCAGGUGCUUUAGAGCCCGCUGGCACCGCACGGUGAGAGCUGCCCUUUGGGCAGCCUCGCUUUCCCAAAGGGGCAUUGGGAGUCACUUAAAAAUUGGGAUUCCUGCAAAAAAUCCAAAUGAAAAGGGUAUUUUUUAGUUUUCAAAAAUCCCACCGACGCUCCGUGCUCCACUUGGCAUUUUCGAAGAAAUGGGUUUAAUUCUGCUAUCUCUAUCCUCAAUGGAAAAAACUCCACUUGGGAGCAAUGGCAGGUUCCUGGGACAGACCCUCCACAGGGACAUUCCCUCCCAGAAUCACCCAAGGUCCCCAUUUUCCACCCCAGAGACCAAAAUCAGCAUUUCUGUGGGUGCGAGAACCCCGGCAGACCUGGUAUUGCUGGGUUUGCUCAUCUCCAUCUCCCCGGGAGGAGAAAGGAAACUCUCCUUCCUCACCGCGCUUUUAUUUUGCUGCAGUGGUAACGAAUUCUUGCAGCGGUUCAUGCCCUGAAGGAGCCUUAAAACCUCCCAAAUUUGACAGCCAAAAAUAGCUAUCGCUCUGCUUGUUUCCAAGUGUUCACUAGCCCUGAUUUAUUUACCCCAGUUAUUUGAAUCCGUCUCACGCUUUGAAUCCCAAAUCCUAAGCAGAAUGGAAAAAAACCUGCAUCUGUCAUUUAGAUGCUCUUGCACUCGUUGAACGGGGAGGGGGAUUAUCGUUUCUCCUGGCUGAAAGGGUGUCCCCCGUGCUGGGGUCCUGGGGAGGGCUGGAAAAGCUGAAAAAAAUCAUGGCUUUAUCAACUCCUGGGAUUUCCAAGCAUCCGGACUGUGCGGCAGCUCCAGGAGUAUUUUUCCCAGCCCUUAAUAUCCUUGUUUGCCGUGGGGGAGGCUGCCAGGACUGCGGGCAGCUGCCUGGCAGCGCACCGGGGGCUUUGCUGACUGCACCCCACAAUCGGGACAUCGGGACCCCCCACAAGCGACCGACAGCAACAAGGACAUGAGUGAAGAGGUGCCACCGCAUGCCCGGGGGACAGCGUGAGGGUCAGCCUCUUUGCAAGCGACCCGGCACAAAGCACGGCUCUCGGUGACAUGAGUGGAUGCCGUGGGGUCCAGGUGCCCAAGAAAGGCUGGAGAAAACCAAGGCUGGGAUGGAAGCGUGGGCAGGAUCCGUGCAGAUGCCCUUCCCAUCCCCAGGGUAAGGGCUUCCUCCCUCUUUUCCCAUAUAAGCAGCCCCAAGGCUGAAGCCAGACAUGCCCAGGGGGUCCCACCCGGGGGUGCCCCCCAUACCUCGGUGCCAGACGGGUUGCACGGACCGCGAGAUGACACCCCAGGAAGCUGGAAGGACACAGCCGCUGCCACCAAGCCCGAGGCACCGGGAGGAUGAGGUCUGCAGCAAAAUGAGGCGAAAGGGAAAAAAAAAAAUCACACGCAUUAAAGGUGUUCAAAGCCCCCA
Molecule: long non-coding RNA, 6180 nt
Organism: Aquila chrysaetos chrysaetos
Lineage: Eukaryota; Metazoa; Chordata; Aves; Accipitriformes; Accipitridae
Exons: 3
Source: RefSeq, a predicted model, not a curated record